UUCGCCCUCCCCUCCGGGACACCCGGGAGCCGAGCCGUCGGGAAAGCCCACAGCUAGGGAGAAGGGACCGGACGGGCAGCACCUGCUACCUAGCGAGCCUUCGCUCCCCUCUGAUUUAAAUGGAUGUGUUUCACGUCACGGAGAAAAAGCAGUUCUGGGAUCAAUGAUAGAGCUGGAAGCAGGAGAUAACAUUUUCAAACAUCGGGCCAGGUCUCCGCAACACUCACGCGCGCGCACGCACACACACACACACACACACACACACACACACACAUGCAGAAGGGAGUGCGAACUGUGCUCAGUGAGUCCUGGGCAACAGGAUGGCGUCUGAUGCUGGCAGUGAGGCAGGACAUCUCUACAUUGCUCCGUUGCCCGGGCUCGGCUUGAACUUGUGAUCCAAGAAUGGUACGAUUACAGGGUGAACUAUGGGAAGUAUUCUCUGUCCAGAGGUAUAGGUCAGAGAAGAGGCAGCCACAAUACUGUAUGAUACACAAUACCUUCCCACAGAGACCCAGGUGGCGUUGGAACAAGGAUGCUUGGCACAGACAGGAGCGCUGACCCUUCCUCCCCCGCCCCAGCAUCCUUCACCAAGCUGGGGCUUCUAUGGCCUCUUCUCCUGGGCCCCAGCUCCUCUUCCCAGCUGUGCACUCCCACACCCAGGGCUGAGCACAGAGCUGGCACAUCCUGGAAGCUCCUUGAUGUGAACUGAAUUCACCUAGUCUUCCGGGUACUGAUCGAUUCCUGUGUCUUCUCGGAAGCAGUGGGUGUCCCCGAACUGGUGACUCCUCCAGGAUGGGAGAAGCCAGGAGGACUCCAAAGAGAAACAGGGAAGAAGGA
Long non-coding RNA from Fukomys damarensis (Damara mole-rat), 837 nucleotides. RefSeq lists it as uncharacterized. Lineage: Eukaryota; Metazoa; Chordata; Mammalia; Rodentia; Bathyergidae. The transcript has 4 exons. The record is from RefSeq and is a predicted model, not a curated record.